This is a long non-coding RNA of Oxyura jamaicensis (ruddy duck), 106 nucleotides long. RefSeq lists it as uncharacterized. The transcript is spliced from 3 exons. Lineage: Eukaryota; Metazoa; Chordata; Aves; Anseriformes; Anatidae. The record is from RefSeq and is a predicted model, not a curated record.
CUCACAGUAAAUUUGUGGCAGAAAUGUUCCCAAGUAUUCCCUAAGCAGGAAUAAAGUGGACUAAACAUUGCUAGGUAGUUUGUGGGUGCAGAAGAGUAGUUAAAAA